This 1477-nucleotide long non-coding RNA is filed under the name Sus scrofa (pig). RNAcentral's name for it is "lncRNA (ENSSSCG00015012593.1)". Lineage: Eukaryota; Metazoa; Chordata; Mammalia; Artiodactyla; Suidae. The record is from RNAcentral.
CUGUCAGGCUGUGCUUUAUAUUAAUUUUAAUCUACUUGGUCCCUAUUCAAAAUGUUAGUAUGAAUUUUAAUCCAGUUUCUCCUGAAUAAAAUCACUGGAGGAAGGAAGUAAUAUGAUUAUUAGUCCCUGCUUUUGGGCCCUCAAGGAUGGAUCUGGCCCUGCUUUCCAUUUUCUUCUCCCCUCUCUGCUCAUUCCUCUCUUCCUACCCUGCAUCCAUGUCUAAUCUCUGCUCAACAAGGUCCAUUUCCAUCUUAGAACAUGCCCAUGGUAGCUUGGAGAACUCGUUCCUUCAUGAACCAGAGUGUUGCUGGUACUCUUCAAGAGAUGCUUAAUUGACAGCUUCUGAUAAGAAGCCAGCAAUGUUCAAAUAGAGCGGAGGUCUGGUCAGGGAGUUUGCACCCAGGUAUGAAGCCCCCUCAGAUCCUCAGAAAACAUCCCAAAGCCUGGGGCUCAGGGUGGCAUGCUGUGGAGUGUGGAGUGUGAUCCGAGAGGGGCCCUGCCCUAACCCCAGUCAAGAAGAACAGAAUGUUUCUGCCAUAGAGACAGCAGCUUUGCUCUUAGUAUUUCCUGAAUAUUCUGGAGGACUUCUCGUUGGUGGGUUAGUUGAACCAGUAACCCGAUCGUUUUCUCACUCCCAGGGACCGCCUCCCCCUCUGCUCUGCCCGAUGCAUUCAACACAUGUGUUCGCCUGGGAGGCCAGGCAGCACCAGAGCAAUUUACAUUCGGCUUCCCAGCCUGCUGGAGGCAGCGAAUCAGCCUCUGGGAAGGCUUCGGAGACUUGUCAGCAGUCUGUAGCUUAUUUCUGUGUGUGUGAGGGUGCGUGUGUGCGUGUGUGUGUCUAUCUCUCUCUUAACAUUUACAGGCUGAGAUCACUGUGGAGGAACAAGCAAUAGAGUCUUGUCAAGAUUUUAUCUCAGGGUAAUGCUUAGUUGAAAAUGAAAGCCUGAAAUACUGAUUUUCUUCGUGAGAAGAAUUGACUGUUUGAUGUUGAGAACCCCCAGUGUCUGACCGAGGAAAGCUGAGCAGGGCCACUGCAGCCCGCGGCUCUCUGACAGCAGCAGGGGCUGGGUUGAGGCAGCGGCUGCUGGCCUGGGGCGCACCCGUAAAUGGACUUGGGGCUCAAUGCUGUGACUCUUAGUUGUGGCUUUGGAUGUUGGAAUACCGGCGGUGAUCUUCUGUCUCUUAUCAACUCCCCUGAUUUAAAGGAAAGAUGAGUGAAGAACCGAAGGAGAAAAAUGCCAAACCUGCUCACAGGAAAAGGAAAGGGAAAAAGGUAAGAAAUGAAUAAGCAACAUGUAUUGUUCUCUGGCCCUGAGGAGGGAGUGCUCUUUAGGCUGGAUUUUGAAGAGACUUGGGUUUUAAGAAGCUGCUAGAAUCAGAAUGCUUUUUGUUUUUCUGGUCUCUUAAUGGGUGUGUUCAGUGUUGGGGGAAAGCAUCACAACUCAGAGACAUUGCUAAAAUAUUUAAACAGUUAAAU